GCCCCCGUGCCGAAAUUGGUAGACGGGCCAGCUUAGGAGGCUGGCGGGCCACUAGGCCCGUCCGGGUUCGAGACCCGGCGGGGGCA
RNAcentral lists this transfer RNA (86 nucleotides) under Sphingomonas sp. IBVSS1. Its description in RNAcentral is "tRNA-Pro". Lineage: Bacteria; Pseudomonadati; Pseudomonadota; Alphaproteobacteria; Sphingomonadales; Sphingomonadaceae. The record is from RNAcentral.